This 63-nucleotide transfer RNA is filed under the name Quadrula quadrula (mapleleaf mussel). RNAcentral describes it as "tRNA-Trp". The record is from RNAcentral. Lineage: Eukaryota; Metazoa; Mollusca; Bivalvia; Unionida; Unionidae.
AAGGGCUUAAGUUAGUUAAACUAAAAGCCUUCAAAGCUUAAAACGGCAAUAAACCAGCCCUUA